AGUAAGGGGGGAAUGGGAGGUGAGACAAAGGACAUGGGUGGGUGCCUUCUGCCUAGUGGGAAGAAGAAGUCUCUCAGAGAUAGUCAGGGUCUCUUGGCCACGGAGGCUGCCAGAAACAGGCAACUUGCUUGUGUUUCUGUGGUGUGACCUUCUAUGGCUGUUUUAUGAACCUACAUGUAUUCUCCAAGAAGUAGAGUGACUGGAUGAUUUUGUUCUUCAACAAUGGAGUAUGGUGACAAACCUAGCUUGAGGAAGAGGCCAUGAGAGCAUGAGGGCAGUGUCCCACCCCAAAAAGCAGAGAAAAUACAGAAGGAUAAAGAACUGUGAAAAGGUCAUGAACUUUGGAGUUGGGCAGAAGUGAGUGUGAGCUGCAUUGCCUCUUCCUGGUGCGGAAGCUUUGUGGCCAGCACUGCAUCUGUUAGAUGAGGCUGCUAUUGAAGAGCAGAAGAGAACAUUCCACGAUACAGAAAGGUCUCCAGGGUCCUGGCUAGCCUAGUCCUCACUGGCCCCACCAUUCUUCCCUUCUCUAAAUUCCACCAAUAAUGCUUUUUCAUGGGUUAUCUAAAACAGUGGUUCUCAACUUGUGGGUUGGUGACCCCUUGGGUAGGGAUGUUAACUAUCUCUUCAUAGGAGUCACAUAGCAGAUAUCCAUCCUAUCAGAUUACAUUUGCAUUACAGUUCAUAUCCGUUCCAAAAUUAUAGCUAUGAAAAUAACGUUAUAGUCAGGGGUCAUGACAACAUGAGGAACUUUUAAAGGGUCACAGAAUUAUGAAAGUUGAGAACCACUGCUCUGGGCUCUAAGACUAAGUGUGCCUGGGGAUCUGCACACUUCUCUCUAUUCCAUUCUUCUACUAGUUCAUUCUUCCUGAUGCUUCAGAACUCAGCCAGAGUGUCACUGUCUCAAAGAAGCCUUCCCUAUCUCCAGCUAAGUGGGAAGCCUUGUGAAGUGCACCCUGAGCAUCAUAAGACUCUUCAUAAUUGUUGUCAAGGCUAAUAAUUGUGUCACUAACUCACUCCUUUCAGAAUGUCACAUGAAGUUGUGUUCACUUCCAUCCCAUUCUUCACAACUGUUUUUUAUCUUUAAAGCUUUGGGUGGGAAAGUAAGAAUAAUGGAAACAGACAAGGACCUAAAUGAAUGUACCCUAACCUCCUAUGACCGUCUGAACAUUUCUCCCUUGGCUCUUCCUUUGAAUCCCAUAGUUCUCAGCUCUUCUGCUGCAACAGAACCCUGUGGAAGAUUUGGAAAAGUGAAGAUAGCAACUUAAGAUAUCCUGGGUUCCUUUCAUCAGCCUUUUUAAUGUUUUCUGGGUGAUUUUUAAAAAAUGUAACCAGGGUUGAUAACCACUACUCUAGGCAAGGAUUUAUUUUGAAAAAACUUUUUUUGACUGUACAAUGUUCUUUGUGAAAGUUAUGUAUCAAUUGGAGUAGGUAAAACAGCUUAGCAUUUAGCUUCUGCAUUGACUAUGGUCUUUAGGAUGUACUAUGGUCCUAAGGAUGCACUAUGGUCCUGAGGAUGCACUAUAGUCCUGAAGAUGCACUAAGGUCCUAAGGAUGUACUAUGGUCCUGAGAUGCGCUAAGGUCCAGAGGAUGCACUAUGGUCCUUAGAUGCACUAUGGUCCUGAGUAUGCACAAUUUCCUGAGAUUCACUAUAGUCCUGAAGAUGCACUAAGGUCCCGAGGGAUGCACUAUGGUCCUGAGAAUGCACAAUUUCCUGAGAUUCACUAUAGUCAUGAGGAUGCACUAAGGUCCCGAGGGAUGCACUAUGGUCCUGAGGAUGUACUAUGGUCCUGAAGAUGCACUAAGGUCCCGAGGGAUGCACUAUGGUCCUGAGAUGCACUAAGGUCCUGAGGAUGCACUAUGGUCCUGAAGAUGCACUAAGGUCCUGAGGAUGCACUAUGGUCCUGAGAAUGCACUAUGGUCCUGAGGAUGCACUAUGGUCCUGAGGGAUGCACUANUAUGGUCCUGAGGAUGCACUAUGGUCCUGAGGGAUGCACUAUGGUCCUGAGAUGCACUAAGGUCCUGAGGAUGUACUAUGGUCCUGAGAUGCACUAAGGUCCUGAGGGAUGCACUAUGGUCCUGAAGAUGCAAUCAGAUCCUGAGGAUGCACUAUGGUCCCAAGAUUCACUAUAGUCCUGAGGAUGCACUAUCGUCCCAAGGAGGAGGAGGGAAAAAGAGGGAAGAAGAAAACUGGGAAUGUUUUGGAUGUGUACAAGACCACAUGAUCACGAUGAGGUGGGACGCUGUGAAAGCGAACCCCAUCUUCUUCCAAACUUGCUGAGGGCAGGGUUUGUCUAGAUGUGCUAAGACUUUUGUUAUUUUCAGGCAGUGAAUAAUAUAGGGUAUUCUUGGAUAUGCCUUCUCCCUGACAGGAUAUUGGAUGAAAUGGCUUUAGUGUGGGAACAGCUUCCAGGAUAUUGGCCCUGGAAGACGCUUUGGUGAGGAGUGGUUUGAAUAUGCUACUCAAUGCCAGUUGGCAAAGAUUCUGGGGAAAAGUAAGCAAGCUUUCGUUUCAAAGAAUGAAUUAGUAGAGUCUUUAAAAGGAGGGAAAUGGUAAAAAAAAAAUAGAAUAAUUGGGUAUAAAAACUCUCUGAUGCUAAGUUUUAAAACAAAGCCUGGUAGUUUCUGACCUAAAGGCCCAAGCCUGCCAACCACCCAUUUUUGUACAACUUGUAACUAAGAAUGCAUUUUAUAUUUUCAAAUGGCUGAAAAUAAUCAAAAGAAGAAUUAUAUUUCAUCACCUAUGAAUGGUAUAUGAAAUUCAAAUUUCAGUGUUCAUAAAUAAAAUAUUACCGGAGCACAGCCACACUUCAUUUAUGGGUUACUGCCAUAGCUGCUUUUGUUAUACAAGGGCCGAGUUGAACAACUGCUGUACUGCUGUAGACUGUGUAGCCCACAAUAGCCCAGCUAUUUACCGUCUGAUUCUUUGCUGAUACAGCUCGCUGAUCAUUGUGUUGAAGAACCAGAUAAAGAUCUUACUAGGAAGAUUAACCAUGAGUAGUAAAGAAGAGCAAAGGAAGAAGAGAAGAGUGUAAAGGAAAUCAUGUUUAGAUUGCUAAACAUACUAUACAGUUCCUCUACAACUCCAGGGUAGCGUUAGGGUCCCAGCAGAGCACAGGCAUGAGCUAAAAGUGAAAUCAUUGGAAGAGAAUAAUACAAUGGACUGCGUGCAAAGAGAGAGCAGUGGUGACCAGCUAUAACAUACUUCAUAGGCUACGAGCAAAGAAACCAUUGACACCUCUAGGCCUGAAGAGUUUAGGGAAGGGAAGAGUUUCCAGAAUCCAGAAUAAAAGAAUGAUACAGGCAGACCAACCUUCAAAGCAGUAGCAAAGGACGUAGCAAUUCAUAAAAGACUCAUGGAGACCAUAUUUUGUCCCCUUUCCAGUUUCCUGCGAAAAUAAGUGUCUAUUCUUCUCCACACCCCCUUUACAGUUUUGUAUUUUGAUAUCCUACUUCAGUUUGAUGGUCACUUUUCAUAGUCUCUUUCGUCUUUCAAACUCACAACCUUUAAGCAGAAGGCACAGAGGCACAGAGGCAAUACCUUGGGC
Mus caroli (Ryukyu mouse) is the source of this 3546-nucleotide long non-coding RNA. RefSeq lists it as uncharacterized. The record is from RefSeq and is a predicted model, not a curated record. Lineage: Eukaryota; Metazoa; Chordata; Mammalia; Rodentia; Muridae.